Long non-coding RNA from Photinus pyralis (common eastern firefly), 1034 nucleotides. RefSeq lists it as uncharacterized. The record is from RefSeq and is a predicted model, not a curated record. The transcript has 2 exons. NCBI's taxonomy places the organism in Eukaryota, Metazoa, Arthropoda, Insecta, Coleoptera, Lampyridae.
AUAUAUAGAGACUGGUAGGCGCGCUUAUACCUGUAAAAUUUGACGCCAAAUCCGGCGCUAGGUAAACUCAAUCCAUAGAUGGCGCCAGGGUGAUCAGUGUACUUCAAAUGAAUGUCAUUUAAAUUGUUUUAGGUUAUGAUGUUAUGUACAAAAAUUUUUUACUUAGCGACUUGGUGUGGUUUGGCAUCUACAGUGUGUUAUACCUAGUUAUUGUUGCAAACAAUUUCGGUAAAUAAAAUAGACAAGUACUAAUCGGAUGUAUAAGCAAGCAAACUUGCACAUCGCACUGUUCACUUUGCUAAAGUUCAAAGUUACAGAGCAUUGAGGGGUUCCACUAAAAAGGAUGCUCGUUAUCAUAGUAAAUAGUAGCGCAAUACCUGCAUUACAGACUUCUCACCCCGUCUAGCUGUCGGAGCUUGUACUGGAUCAAGCGAAGUCAACAAGUCAUUGAUCAAUGUAAACCAUAUGUGAACAAACCAGGAGCCGCCCUUCUUAUAUUAAGAUAAGCAUCAAAUGACCCUCACCUACACAAUCUACGGUGUAAGCAAUCAUGCCGAGAGCUGUAAGAACCUCUGACACAAAAUCAUUAUUGCCCGUUUGAUUAGCGAGAUUCUCGGCUGCUGAGAUGGGGAUUGAAGGAACUGGCAAAAGUCUACAUUAUUACUGUUAAGAUGGAAGGAGUGUGGCUUAUCCUAACCUUAGUCAUCUUCCCAUUUAACGCCUCUGCAAAACGACCAACUUCGGACUUCAGAAGAAUGACAGAUCACUGCGUAGGCAACGACGUGGAAUUGUAUUAGGUGUCGAUGCUAACGAUGUGUGGGGAAACACAACUACACUACACUUCUGCAGUCUGCACAGCUUCCUUGCCUUGGGUCUCAUGCCGAGUACAAUUACUUAGUGGUCGCUCUCCUACUUUCCAUGGAAAUUUAAAAUACAGAUGCGUUAAAACAUAGACCCUUUUUCCAUAUUAUUAUCAGGGAAACUGCCUGUUACAUUUUUUACAAAUAUUUACAAAUAAAUUUUCUAUAAACAAC